GUUCUCCUGCCAUUGCAGCUGGCUUUGAUAAUACUGCUGAUGUUCCGAUGUCUGAGGUAAUUUCUGAUGAGUUUGCAUUUGGUAGCAAUGCAACAGGACUGGUGAAGCCAUGGGAAGGAGAGAGGAUUCAUGGGAAGGAGAGAGGAUUCAUGAAGAGUGUGGAUCAGAUGAUCUGGAGCUUACUCUUGGGAGCUCAAGAACCAGGUGAUCUGGCAUGAAUAGAUCAAACUGAGUUAUAAGUUUCUCAAAUCAUGUUGGGAAC
This 262-nucleotide unclassified non-coding RNA is filed under the name Hevea brasiliensis (rubber tree). The record is from RNAcentral. Lineage: Eukaryota; Viridiplantae; Streptophyta; Magnoliopsida; Malpighiales; Euphorbiaceae.